CUACGGGGGGCAGCAGUGGGGAAUAUUGGACAAUGAGGGCAACCCUGAUCCAGCAAUGCCAUGUGUGCGAAGAAGGCCUUCGGGUUGUAAAGCACUUUAGUGAGGGAGGAAGGUUGUAGCGCUAAUAUCGCUAUAAAUUGACAGUACCUCAAGAAUAAGCACCGGCAAACUCUGUGCCAGCAGCCGCGGUAAUACAGAGGGUGCAAGCGUUAAUCGGAAUUAUUGGGCGUAAAGGGCUUGUAGGUGGUUGAUUAAGUUAGAUGUGAAAACCCUGGGCUCAACCUGGGACGUGCAUUUAAUACUGGUCGACUAGAAUAGAGCAGAGGAGAGGGGAAUUCCUGGUGUAGCAGUGAAAUGCGUAGAGAUCAGGAGGAACAUCGGUGGCGAAGGCGCCUCUCUGGGUUCAUAUUGACACUGAAAAGCGAAGGCGUGGGGAUCAAACAGGAUUAGAUACCCCAGUAGUC
This 464-nucleotide ribosomal RNA is filed under the name uncultured bacterium. Its description in RNAcentral is "partial 16S ribosomal RNA". It matches the Rfam family "Bacterial small subunit ribosomal RNA", at positions 339 to 795 of the family's 1533-position model. The record is from RNAcentral.